This 517-nucleotide unclassified non-coding RNA is filed under the name Avellinia michelii. RNAcentral's name for it is "contains 3' external transcribed spacer, ETS". Lineage: Eukaryota; Viridiplantae; Streptophyta; Magnoliopsida; Poales; Poaceae. The record is from RNAcentral.
GCCGACUACCGACGCCGUGUCCCGUCAUUCGUGUGGCCUAUGCCACUGUUGCCUUUCGAAGUGCUUGCGUGCCGGUAUCCGACCUACGGGAAUUAGUGCUUUGUACACGGUUGCCUCGCGGUGGACUCCUUCGGGUAAUCCGCUGCGGCCAAGUGGCUCUUGCGUCGUUGCCUCGUGGUGCUAGCACGUUUACGUGUCUGGUGCUUUCAAGGCAGCCUCGCUUGAGCUGUUGGUUUUGGAUGUUGCUCACGAUAAAGGCUCAUGGCCCUUUUGGUUGCCUAGACCCGACCCUACAAAGCUCCCUGAAACCGAACGUGUCGUAGAACUGUGUUGCCUCUGCCUCUCCACGUUAAGUGGUAGGAUACGCAACAGCCUGGACCGAUGCUAGUAGACGUACGGGAGCCUGGCCCGCUCAGUUGCGACAACCGGCCCGGCUGUUAUCUGCCCGUAUAGGCGGAUGACUUCCGACGCUGGACGUCAAAGAGGACGUGCUACCUGGUUGAUCCUGCCAGUAGUC